UGCCUGGUGGAUUAGUGGCGAACGGGUGAGUAACACGUGAGUAACCUGCCCCUGACUUCGGGAUAAGCCCGGGAAACUGGGUCUAAUACCGGAUAUGACUUCCUGCUGCAUGGCAGGGGGUGGAAAGAUUUAUCGGUUGGGGAUGGACUCGCGGCCUAUCAGCUUGUUGGUGAGGUAAUGGCUCACCAAGGCGACGACGGGUAGCCGGCCUGAGAGGGUGACCGGCCACACUGGGACUGAGACACGGCCCAGACUCCUACGGGAGGCAGCAGUGGGGAAUAUUGCACAAUGGGCGAAAGCCUGAUGCAGCGACGCCGCGUGAGGGAUGACGGCCUUCGGGUUGUAAACCUCUUUCAGUAGGGAAGAAGCCCCUUUUUGGGGGUGACGGUACUUGGAAAAAAAGCGCCGGCUAACUACGUGCCAGCAGCCGCGGUAAUACGUAGGGCGCAAGCGUUAUCCGGAAUUAUUGGGCGUAAAGAGCUCGUAGGCGGUUUGUCGCGUCUGCCGUGAAAGCCCGAGGCUCACCCUCGGAUCUGCGGUGGGUACGGGCAGACUAUAGUGAUGUAGGGGAGACUG
Molecule: ribosomal RNA, 576 nt
Filed under: Glutamicibacter creatinolyticus
Lineage: Bacteria; Bacillati; Actinomycetota; Actinomycetes; Micrococcales; Micrococcaceae
Description: bacterial SSU rRNA
Rfam family: Bacterial small subunit ribosomal RNA
Source: RNAcentral